This 445-nucleotide ribosomal RNA is filed under the name uncultured bacterium. RNAcentral's name for it is "SSU rRNA". It matches the Rfam family "Bacterial small subunit ribosomal RNA", at positions 26 to 518 of the family's 1533-position model. The record is from RNAcentral.
AGAGCGAACGCUGGCGGCAGGCUUAACACAUGCAAGUCGAGCGCCCCGCAAGGGGAGCGGCAGACGGGAGAGUAACACGUGGGAACGUACCUUUCGGUUCGGAACAACCCAGGGAAACUUGGGCUAAUACCGGAUACGUCCGUAAGGAGAAAGAUUUAUCGCCGAAAGAUCGGCCCGCGUCUGAUUAGCUAGUUGGUGAGGUAACGGCUCACCAAGGCGACGAUCAGUAGCUGGUCUGAGAGGAUGAUCAGCCUCACUGGGACUGAGACACGGCCCAGACUCCUACGGGAGGCAGCAGUGGGGAAUAUUGGACAAUGGGCGCAAGCCUGAUCCAGCCAUGCCGCGUGGGUGAUGAAGGCCCUAGGGUUGUAAAGCCCUUUUCGGCGGGGAAGAUAAUGACGGUACCCGCAGAAGAAGCCCCGGCUAACUUCGUGCCAGCAGCCGC